This is a long non-coding RNA of Brassica napus (rape), 1628 nucleotides long. RefSeq lists it as uncharacterized. The transcript has 3 exons. Lineage: Eukaryota; Viridiplantae; Streptophyta; Magnoliopsida; Brassicales; Brassicaceae. The record is from RefSeq and is a predicted model, not a curated record.
UUUUAGUUUAAUUAUAUGUACAGUAAAAUAAAGAUUUAUAAUAUCUAUCUAUCUAUCUAUCUAUCUAUACUAAUAAAUGAGAGUUUUCUCUCUUCUCCUGCUGCCACAUCAGCAUGGAGGUAUGGGCAAAAUAAGACACGUGUCUUCUUCUUUCUAACAUAUAAUGUGAUUAAUUUUCUUUGGGCCAGCGUAAGAGAUCGUGCUAUAUUGUAAGCCCGAACGUAGUGUUUUCAUGUGGACUUCAUGAAAUAAAUUUCACAACCACUAAGAUCCAUUAAAUUAGGUUAAUAUUCCCCUAUAUCCUUUCUCAAUUUAUCUCAGACGUAUCAAUUACUCUUGAAUCCACCGCCUCUUUAUAACCUUCGUCGUUACUUCCAGGUUUCACUAGCAUGCAAUUUAUUGUAUGUUCUUAAUAACGACAUUUAAUCAUAGCAAUCCACAACUCCACAUCCUUCCAGCUUCCCUGCCUUCCUUACCAAUUUCUGACACUAUAUAUAUGAAGCCGAAGGAGAAGGUUCUGCUCAUCUUUAAGUCGCGCUAUUCUAUUAUAGCAAACUAUCUGUAAGAGUUGGUAUAAUCAUGGCAAACCCUCAACUGCUUCUGUCUGAAGCUGAAGGCUGGUUGGUGUAAGGAUACCGAUGUCACACACCUCCUCCAUUUUUGGGAAGCAGAGAACGUGAAGAAAGGUGGAGAGCUAAUGAGGAUCAAUUUGGUCAUUGGUUAUGAGAAGACCACGCUCAUCUAGGACUCUAUUAGCAUCCAUCAUAAAAUCAUACAUGAAGGUUGGAUAUCAAAGAUUAUGUCACAUGAUUUGAGGAUCUUGAACCUGCGUAAGUAUCAGUUCACCGGCCAUUUACCACUUGCAUAAUUUUAUUAAGUUACUAAUUGAGACAGCGUGGUAGCAGCAUAGGAUCUGGAUUUGAGUAUUCUUUGGUAAGCCAAGGCUUCCAAGGUUUUGUUGUCUUCCAAGGAAUAAUUUUCAAAACGAGUUAUUAUUCUUUACUUUCUCACCAAUUGAUACAUAUAUCAUUUAGAAAGGUUUCAUGUCUUGACGCUUUUUAACAUAUGAAUGAAGUGCGGUAAGAGAUGUGAGCAUCCCACCAAGGACAAGGCUUUGGACACUGUGAUACAGACCAUAUCAAGAGGUUUGAAACCAACUUGAUGAAAGACUGGAUGUGUUAAAUAUUACUAAUUGGAUGGAACCGUUCUCUGUUUUUUGAGUGCAGGAUCUUCAAAAGUUUAUAUUUUAAUGACUUGGCCUUCAUAUAAUUAAGCAUGACAAGAAACACAGUAUUUGAAGUAUAUCAAUCAUUAUUGGCAAUUAGAUUGCCUUUCUUUAGUGUGGCAUUGUAUACAAGGCCGUUCAAUAAAGAGUUAAAAGUUUUCAAAUUGUAAUACUUAACAUUUGUAUGGAUUUUCUUUAGUUUCUGAGAUGAGCUCUGCAAACACAGAAUGCGAUAAAUCUAUAAUGACAGAUUGAAGAGUUCCCAUUGACCUGAUCAACUUAUUUUGUACGUAAGAUUGGCAUCAUGGCCUCUCCGGAAGAAAAGAAAUUAACAACUGCGUUGCUGCAUUAACUAACAAUUUAUUAAGCCUAACAAUUGUAACAAACAGUCAUUACAACUGCA